GACGAACGCUGGCGGCGUGCUUAACACAUGCAAGUCGAACGGAAAGGCCCUGCUUUUGUGGGGUGCUCGAGUGGCGAACGGGUGAGUAACACGUGAGUAACCUGCCCUUGACUUUGGGAUAACUUCAGGAAACUGGGGCUAAUACCGGAUAGGAGCUCCUGCUGCAUGGUGGGGGUUGGAAAGUUUCGGCGGUUGGGGAUGGACUCGCGGCUUAUCAGCUUGUUGGUGGGGUAGUGGCUUACCAAGGCUUUGACGGGUAGCCGGCCUGAGAGGGUGACCGGCCACAUUGGGACUGAGAUACGGCCCAGACUCCUACGGGAGGCAGCAGUGGGGAAUAUUGCACAAUGGGCGGAAGCCUGAUGCAGCAACGCCGCGUGCGGGAUGACGGCCUUCGGGUUGUAAACCGCUUUCGCCUGUGACGAAGCGUGAGUGACGGUAAUGGGUAAAGAAGCACCGGCUAACUACGUC
RNAcentral lists this ribosomal RNA (468 nucleotides) under uncultured bacterium. Its description in RNAcentral is "partial 16S ribosomal RNA". It matches the Rfam family "Bacterial small subunit ribosomal RNA", at positions 28 to 507 of the family's 1533-position model. The record is from RNAcentral.